UGGAGGACCGAACCCACUGUCGUUGAAAAGCCAGGGGAUGACUUGUGGAUAGGGGUGAAAGGCUAAUCAAACUCGGUGAUAGCUGGUUCUCCCCGAAAGCUAUUUAGGUAGCGCCUCGGACGAAUACCAUUGGGGGUAGAGCACUGUUUCGGCUAGGGGGUCAUCCCGACUUACCAAACCGAUGCAAACUCCGAAUACCAAUGAGUACUAUCCGGGAGACAGACUGCGGGUGCUAACGUCCGUAGUCAAGAGGAAAACAAUCCAGACCGCCAGCUAAGGCCCCUAAAUUAUAGUUAAGUGGGAAACGAUGUGGGAAGGCAUAGACAGCUAGGAGGUUGGCUUAGAAGCAGCCACCCUUUAAAGAAAGCGUAAUAGCUCACUAGUCGAGUCGGCCUGCGCGGAAGAUGUAACGGGGCUAAAACUAUAUGCCGAAGCUGCGGAUUUACACAUUAGUGUAAGUGGUAGGGGAGCGUUCUGUAAGCCGAUGAAGGUGGAUUGAGAAGUCUGCUGGAGGUAUCAGAAGUGCGAAUGCUGACGUGAGUAACGACAAAGCGGGUGAAAAACCCGCUCGCUGAAAGACCAAGGGUUCCAGUCCAACGUUAAUCGGGGCUGGGUGAGUCGACCCCUAAGGCGAGGCCGAGAGGCGUAGUCGAUGGGAAAUUGGUUAAUAUUCCAAUACUUCUGUUUAAUGCGAUGAGAGGACGGAGAAGGUUAAGUCAGCCUGGCGUUGGUUGUCCAGGUGGAAGGUUGUAGGCAUGUAUCUUAGGCAAAUCCGGGGUACUCUAUGCUGAGAACUGAUAGCAAGCUGUACUUGUACAGUGAAGUGGCUGAUACCAUACUUCCAGGAAAAGUCUCUAAGCUUCAGUUAAACAGGAAUCGUACCCGAAACCGACACAGGUGGUCAGGUCGAGUAGACCAAAGCGCUUGAGAGAACUCUGCUGAAGGAACUAGGCAAAAUGGUACCGUAACUUCGGGAGAAGGUACGCUGCCGGCGGUGAUAGGACUUGCUCCUUGAGCUGUUGGCAGCCUCAGAAACCAGGCCCCUGCAACUGUUUAUUAAAAACAUAGCACUCUGCAAACACGAAAGUGGACGUAUAGGGUGUGAUGCCUGCCCGGUGCUGGAAGGUUAAUUGAUGUGGUUAGCGCAAGCGAAGCUAUUGAUCGAAGCCCCAGUAAACGGCGGCCGUAACUAUAACGGUCCUAAGGUAGCGAAAUUCCUUGUCGGGUAAGUUCCGACCUGCACGAAUGGCAUAAUGAUGGGGGCGCUGUCUCCAGCAGAGGCUCAGUGAAAUCGAAAUCGCCGUGAAGAUGCGGUGUACCCGCGGCUAGACGGAAAGACCCCGUGAACCUUUACUGCAGCUUGACAUUGAACUUUGAUCUUACUUGUGUAGGAUAGGUGGGAGGCUUUGAAGUGGCGACGCUAGUUGCCAUGGAGCCGUCCUUGAAAUACCACCCUGGUAAUAUUGAGGUUCUAACUCUGUCCCGUUAUCCGGGACGAGGACCAUGUCUGGUGGGUAGUUUGACUGGGGCGGUCUCCUCCUAAAGAGUAACGGAGGAGUACGAAGGUGCGCUCAGCGUGGUCGGAAAUCACGCGUAGAGUAUAAAGGCAAAAGCGCGCUUAACUGCGAGACCCACAAGUCGAGCAGGUACGAAAGUAGGUCUUAGUGAUCCGGUGGUUCUGUAUGGAAGGGCCAUCGCUCAACGGAUAAAAGGUACUCUGGGGAUAACAGGCUGAUACCGCCCAAGAGUUCAUAUCGACGGCGGUGUUUGGCACCUCGAUGUCGGCUCAUCUCAUCCUGGGGCUGAAGCAGGUCCCAAGGGUAUGGCUGUUCGCCAUUUAAAGAGGUACGCGAGCUGGGUUUAGAACGUCGUGAGACAGUUCGGUCCCUAUCUACCGUGGGCGCUGGAAAUUUGAGAGGAUCUGCUCCUAGUACGAGAGGACCAGAGUGGACGAACCUCUGGUGUACCGGUUGUGACGCCAGUCGCAUCGCCGGGUAGCUAUGUUCGGAAGGGAUAACCGCUGAAAGCAUCUAAGCGGGAAGCCUACCUCAAGAUAAGAUUUCCCUGUGACUUUAUGUCACCUAAAGAGCCGUUGAAGACUACGACGUUGAUAGGUUGGAUGUGGAAGUGUAGCGAUAUGUGAAGCUGACCAAUACUAAUUGCUCGUGAGGCUUGACUAU
Molecule: ribosomal RNA, 2180 nt
Filed under: Acinetobacter schindleri NIPH 900
Lineage: Bacteria; Pseudomonadati; Pseudomonadota; Gammaproteobacteria; Moraxellales; Moraxellaceae
Description: bacterial LSU rRNA
Rfam family: Bacterial large subunit ribosomal RNA
Source: RNAcentral